CCUGCCCGACCGUUGCCUUCUUGUUAUAUCUCCGUCUCUCGGGUUCUUCUCACCUCUACUCGCCCAAUCUUUACUAAUCCAUAUAUUUUGCUUUAAAAACUUGGAUUUGAUCCAUAGAUCUUUGCUAGCAAGGUAAUCUCAGUUUCCUCCUUGUUUUUUACGCAUUGAUUUGGUAUAUAUUACUUGUAUUUUAUAACCCUAA
RNAcentral lists this long non-coding RNA (202 nucleotides) under Sorghum bicolor (sorghum). RNAcentral's name for it is "long non-coding RNA (SBIC_LNC011699)". The record is from RNAcentral. Lineage: Eukaryota; Viridiplantae; Streptophyta; Magnoliopsida; Poales; Poaceae.